GCGAGUGUAGUUUAGUGGUAAAACUCAAGCUUCCCAAGCUUGCGUCGCGGGUCCGAUUCCCGUCACUCGCUUCA
Molecule: transfer RNA, 74 nt
Filed under: Latilactobacillus sakei
Lineage: Bacteria; Bacillati; Bacillota; Bacilli; Lactobacillales; Lactobacillaceae
Also listed under: 3 other names
Description: Lactobacillus sakei tRNA-Gly
Rfam family: tRNA
About the family: Transfer RNA (tRNA) molecules are approximately 80 nucleotides in length. Their secondary structure includes four short double-helical elements and three loops (D, anti-codon, and T loops).
Source: RNAcentral